AGAUGUGAGGGCAAUCUGGCUGUGACAUCUGUCAUCCCACUGAUCACCAGGGUUGAUUAGGCUGAUCUGACUGGCUAGGCAGGUGUCCCCUUCCUCCCUCACUACUCCAUGUGCCUGCUUCCCUCCCAAAGCUGUGGUGCUUGGUGGAAGUGGAAGAGGACUGCCUUCUCUGAAUAGAGACAACUGGUCUUCCAUUGAGGGUAUACGAGUAGCUGUGCUUCCCUACUAGAACUUCCAAACAAGCUCUCAAGAAAGAGAGAGAGAGAGAGAAUAACAACAUUAUUUAGGCAUUUGAGUCAGGAUAUCAAAU
Molecule: small nuclear RNA, 310 nt
Filed under: Erinaceus europaeus (western European hedgehog)
Lineage: Eukaryota; Metazoa; Chordata; Mammalia; Eulipotyphla; Erinaceidae
Description: 7SK RNA
Rfam family: 7SK RNA
About the family: 7SK was discovered as an abundant small nuclear RNA in the mid-70s but a possible function has only recently been suggested.
Source: Rfam by way of RNAcentral